This 497-nucleotide ribosomal RNA is filed under the name uncultured bacterium. RNAcentral's name for it is "partial 16S ribosomal RNA". It matches the Rfam family "Bacterial small subunit ribosomal RNA", at positions 28 to 507 of the family's 1533-position model. The record is from RNAcentral.
GAUGAACGCUGGCGGCGUGCCUAAUACAUGCAAGUCGAGCGAACAGACGAGGAGCUUGCUCCUCUGACGUUAGCGGCGGACGGGUGAGUAACACGUGGAUAACCUACCUAUAAGACUGGGAUAACUUCGGGAAACCGGAGCUAAUACCGGAUAAUAUAUUGAACCGCAUGGUUCAAUAGUGAAAGACGGUUUUGCUGUCACUUAUAGAUGGAUCCGCGCCGCAUUAGCUAGUUGGUAAGGUAACGGCUUACCAAGGCAACGAUGCGUAGCCGACCUGAGAGGGUGAUUCGCCCCACUGGAACUUGAACACGGUCCAGACUCCUACGGGAGGCAGCAGUAGGGAAUCUUCCGCAAUGGGCGAAAGCCUGAAGGAGCAACGCCGCGUGAGUGAUGAAGGUCUUCGGAUCGUAAAACUCUGUUAUUAGGGAAGAACAAAUGUGUAAGUAACUAUGCACGUCUUGACGGUACCUAAUCAGAAAGCCACGGCUAACUACGUG